GACAUAUUCCCUCCGUCCGGAAUUACUUGUCGCAAAAAUGGAUGAAAAUGGAUAUAUCUAGAACUAAAAUACAUCUAGAUACAUCCAUUUUCCUGACAAGUAUUUCUGGACGGAGGGAGUACAAA
Molecule: non-coding RNA, 125 nt
Organism: Triticum urartu
Lineage: Eukaryota; Viridiplantae; Streptophyta; Magnoliopsida; Poales; Poaceae
Source: Rfam